GGCCUAAUGGUCUAGACGUAUGAUUCACGCUUCGGGUAAUCCCGGUUGCUUAUGCAACUCCUAUUGUGUGAGGUCCCGGGUUCAAUUCCCGGUUAGGCCC
Non-coding RNA from Mycena galopus ATCC 62051, 100 nucleotides. The record is from the annotation of a GenBank genome assembly. Lineage: Eukaryota; Fungi; Basidiomycota; Agaricomycetes; Agaricales; Mycenaceae.